CCUACGGGUGGCUGCAGUGGGGAAUAUUGGACAAUGGGCGAAAGCCUGAUCCAGCCAUGCCGCGUGUGUGAAGAAGGCCUUCGGGUUGUAAAGCACUUUCAGUGGGGAAGAAAGCCUUGGGGCUAAUACCCUCGAGGAAGGACAUCACCCACAGAAGAAGCACCGGCUAACUCCGUGCCAGCAGCCGCGGUAAUACGGAGGGUGCGAGCGUUAAUCGGAAUUACUGGGCGUAAAGCGCGCGUAGGCGGUCUGAUAAGCCGGUUGUGAAAGCCCCGGGCUCAACCUGGGAACGGCAUCCGGAACUGUCAGGCUAGAGUGCAGGAAAGGAAGGUAGAAUUCCCGGUGUAGCGGUGAAAUGCGUAGAGAUCGGGAGGAAUACCAGUGGCGAAGGCGGCCUUCUGGACUGACACUGACGCUGAGGUGCGAAAGCGUGGGUAGCAAACAGGAUUAGAUACCCGAGUAGUC
This 465-nucleotide ribosomal RNA is filed under the name Vreelandella stevensii. RNAcentral's name for it is "partial 16S ribosomal RNA". It matches the Rfam family "Bacterial small subunit ribosomal RNA", at positions 338 to 795 of the family's 1533-position model. Lineage: Bacteria; Pseudomonadati; Pseudomonadota; Gammaproteobacteria; Oceanospirillales; Halomonadaceae. The record is from RNAcentral.